GACGAACGCUGGCGGCGUGCUUAACACAUGCAAGUCGAACGGAAAGGCCCUGCUUUUGUGGGGUGCUCGAGUGGCGAACGGGUGAGUAACACGUGAGUAACCUGCCCUUGACUUUGGGAUAACUUCAGGAAACUGGGGCUAAUACCGGAUAGGAGCUCCUGCUGCAUGGUGGGGGUUGGAAAGUUUCGGCGGUUGGGGAUGGACUCGCGGCUUAUCAGCUUGUUGGUGGGGUAGUGGCUUACCAAGGCUUUGACGGGUAGCCGGCCUGAGAGGGUGACCGGCCACAUUGGGACUGGGAUACGGCACAGACUCCUACGGGAGGCAGCAGUGGAGAAUAUUGCACAAUGGGCGGAAGCCUGAUGCAGCAACGCCGCGUGCGGGAUGACGGCCUUCGGGUUGUAAACCGCUUUCGCCUGUGACGAAGCGUGAGUGACGGUAAUGGGUAAAGAAGCACCGGCUAACUACGU
Molecule: ribosomal RNA, 467 nt
Filed under: uncultured bacterium
Lineage: Bacteria
Description: partial 16S ribosomal RNA
Rfam family: Bacterial small subunit ribosomal RNA
Source: RNAcentral